Molecule: ribosomal RNA, 492 nt
Filed under: uncultured bacterium
Lineage: Bacteria
Description: partial 16S ribosomal RNA
Rfam family: Bacterial small subunit ribosomal RNA
Source: RNAcentral
AUUGAACGCUGGCGGCAUGCUUUACACAUGCAAGUCGAACGGUAACAGGCCUUCGGGUGCUGACGAGUGGCGAACGGGUGCGUAAUGCAUCGGAACGUGCCCAGAGGUGGGGGAUAACGCAGCGAAAGCUGUGCUAAUACCGCAUGUGAUCUGAGGAUGAAAGCGGGGGACCAGGCAGCAAUGUUUGGCCUCGCGCCUUUGGAGCGGCCGAUGUCAGAUUAGGUAGUUGGUGGGGUAAAGGCCUACCAAGCCGACGAUCUGUAGCUGGUCUGAGAGGACGACCAGCCACACUGGGACUGAGACACGGCCCAGACUCCUACGGGAGGCAGCAGUAGGGAAUUUUGGACAAAGGGCGCAAGCCUGAUCCAGCAAUGCCGCGUGCGGGAAGAAGGCCUUCGGGUUGUAAACCGCUGUUGUACGGAACGAAAAGGCUCUGGCUAAUACCUGGGGCUGAUGACGGUACCGUAAGAAUAAGCACCGGCUAACUACGUG